UAGGGAAUCUUCGGCAAUGGACGAAAGUCUGACCGAGCAACGCCGCGUGAGGGAAGAAGGUUUUCGGAUCGUAAAACUCUGUUGUUAGAGAAGAACAAGGACGUUAGUAACUGAACGUCCCCUGACGGUAUCUAACCAGAAAGCCACGGCUAAUUACGUGCCAGCAGCCGCGGUAAUACGUAGGUGGCAAGCGUUGUCCGGAUUUAUUGGGCGUAAAGCGAGCGCAGGCGGUUUCUUAAGUCUGAUGUGAAAGCCCCCGGCUCAACCGGGGAGGGUCAUUGGAAACUGGGAGACUUGAGUGCAGAAGAGGAGAGUGGAAUUCCAUGUGUAGCGGUGAAAUGCGUAGAUAUAUGGAGGAACACCAGUGGCGAAGGCGGCUCUCUGGUCUGUAACUGACGCUGAGGCUCGAAAGCGUGGGGAGCAAACAGG
Molecule: ribosomal RNA, 429 nt
Filed under: Gemmatimonadota bacterium
Lineage: Bacteria; Pseudomonadati; Gemmatimonadota
Description: Gemmatimonadetes bacterium partial 16S ribosomal RNA
Rfam family: Bacterial small subunit ribosomal RNA
Source: RNAcentral